GUUUCAAGGAAGCACCCUUUACCCACUGGAGAAGGAGAAGAGCUCCAGUGGGCGUGGCCCAGCCAGCCUGACGAGGCCUGAAAGGCCGAAACGCGCGUCGCUGGAUAUUAUCCGCAUGUGUUUGUCACUUCAUUUAAAGCCCCGAUUCGAUUUCUUCCAGGGUCCUUGGGGUGGCCAUCGUUCGGCUUGGCGUCGCCUGGACAGGUUGUGAUGGAGCGAGCACACCCUCCUCUUCUCUCUUUUCUUUUUUUCACACUCUCUCUCUCUCUAUCCCUCUCCCUCUCCUCUCCUAAACCUAACCUUUACUCUCUCCUCUCCUAAACCUAACCUUUACUCUCUCUCUCAUCUCACUCUCUCUCUCUCUCUCUCACUCACUCUCUCUCUCUCUCUCUCUCUCUCUCUCUCUCUCUCUCUCUCUCUCUCUCUCUAUCUCACUCUCUCUCUCUCCUAACCCUAACCCCAACCCCAACCACAAACCUGACACGCCAGUGCCUCCGGCCUUGUUUCGGGUGGCGUCCUGCCUGCGAUGAUUGUCACUCUGGGUGGCCUGCUCGGGUCCUUGGGGUGGCCAUCGUUCGGCUUGGCGUCGCCUGGACAGGUUGUGAUGGAGCGAGCACACCCUCCUCUUCUCUCUUUUCUUUUUUUCACA
This is a long non-coding RNA of Nerophis ophidion (straightnose pipefish), 649 nucleotides long. RefSeq lists it as uncharacterized. The transcript is spliced from 2 exons. Lineage: Eukaryota; Metazoa; Chordata; Actinopteri; Syngnathiformes; Syngnathidae. The record is from RefSeq and is a predicted model, not a curated record.